AUGGUUUAAUGAUGAGUUUUUACCCCUUACCUACAUUGUUUGAUGCUCAUGAAAAGCAACAUAUCUGAUAUCAAG
Penaeus monodon (black tiger shrimp) is the source of this 75-nucleotide small nucleolar RNA. RefSeq annotates it as small nucleolar RNA SNORD34. The transcript has a single exon. Lineage: Eukaryota; Metazoa; Arthropoda; Malacostraca; Decapoda; Penaeidae. The record is from RefSeq and is a predicted model, not a curated record.